Molecule: ribosomal RNA, 465 nt
Filed under: uncultured bacterium
Lineage: Bacteria
Description: bacterial SSU rRNA
Rfam family: Bacterial small subunit ribosomal RNA
Source: RNAcentral
CCUACGGGUGGCUGCAGUGGGGAAUAUUGGACAAUGGGGGCAACCCUGAUCCAGCCAUGCCGCGUGUGUGAAGAAGGCCUUCGGGUUGUAAAGCACUUUCAGUGAGGAAGAAGGCCUGCGGGUUAAUAGCCGGCAGGAAGGACAUCACUCACAGAAGAAGCACCGGCUAACUCCGUGCCAGCAGCCGCGGUAAUACGGAGGGUGCGAGCGUUAAUCGGAAUUACUGGGCGUAAAGCGCGCGUAGGUGGCUUGAUAAGCCGGUUGUGAAAGCCCCGGGCUCAACCUGGGAACGGCAUCCGGAACUGUCAGGCUAGAGUGCAGGAGAGGAAGGUAGAAUUCCCGGUGUAGCGGUGAAAUGCGUAGAGAUCGGGAGGAAUACCAGUGGCGAAGGCGGCCUUCUGGACUGACACUGACACUGAGGUGCGAAAGCGUGGGUAGCAAACAGGAUUAGAUACCCAAGUAGUC